RNA transcript from Acyrthosiphon pisum (pea aphid), 1415 nucleotides. It is a transcript of the gene named splicing factor 2, with no coding region annotated. The record is from RefSeq and is marked provisional. The transcript has 6 exons. NCBI's taxonomy places the organism in Eukaryota, Metazoa, Arthropoda, Insecta, Hemiptera, Aphididae.
AUUAUUGACUUUUCGAACGUAACAAUUAAAACCGUAGUCUGUGUGUAUAAUAAUAUUAUAAAAAAAUCGUCUGUCGUGCGCGUAUAUUGUGUUUGGGACUGUCAUGUUUGACGAGCCUCAGUGAAUGUUGCCGUUGUUGCUAUGUAACAGUUUUCGGGAAAUUCGCCCGUUUCACAUUUAGUCAGACUUGCUUUUUCGACAUUAUCUCUAUCGACUAUCAAGCGCAGCGCACCGCGCGCCAUCACUUUCGCAUCGCCGACUGCCGCAGUGCCGAACCGCCGUCAAGUGUCGAUAUCCACUAUCGUCUUCAGACAGGCGUCAUAAUAAUUAUUAUUUUAGUCGUUUUCAAUACACUUUUACAUUCCAACUCGUUCGCCCGAUACCGAAACGAUUAAUUUUAUCCGACAAAUCGUACAAGUGAUACAUACACGUUUGUCACCCACUACCUCAGCUCGAUCGGGAAAAUGUCCAACAACGACUGUAGAAUUUACGUGGGAAACCUGCCGCCCGACAUACGCACGAAAGACAUACAAGAUUUGUUCUACAAAUUCGGUAAAGUGUUGUUUGUCGAUUUGAAAAAUCAGAGAGGACCGCCGUUUGCCUUUGUCGAGUUCGACGACCCUAGAGAUGCAGAAGAUGCAGUUCAUGCUAGAGAUGGUUAUGAUUAUGAUGGCUACAGAUUACGUGUAGAGUUUCCACGUGGAAAUGGUCCACAUAGAAGUGGCGGAGGUGGUGGCAGUAGUAGUGGUGGUGGAAGUUAUAAUAGAGGAGGUGCUAGUGGUGGAAGCGGAAGAAGCAGAGGUCCACCAGCGAGGCGUUCUCAGUAUAGAGUACUUGUUACUGGAUUACCAGCGUCAGGAAGUUGGCAAGAUUUAAAAGAUCAUAUGCGUGAAGCAGGAGAUGUGUGUUAUGCAGAUGUAUACAAAGAUGGAUCUGGCGUAGUUGAGUUUUUACGUUAUGACGAUAUGAAAUAUGCUGUUCGUAAGCUUGAUGACUCGAGAUUCAGGUCUCACGAGGGUGAAGUAACAUAUAUUCGAGUAAAAGAUGAUUAUGGCGGUGGAAGCAGUCGUCGCAGUCGGGAUUAUAAUAGUCGCAGUCGUAGCCGCUCCGCUAGCUAUUCACCUAGAGAUCGUGGAACACCAACAUAUUCACCAGUUAGAAAAAGUCGUAGUUAUUCAAGAUCUCGUUCCCGUUCGUAAUAUUGAGGAUAACCAAAUGACUGCCUGUCUCAAGUCAAUGGAAAACAUUUUAAUGAUGAUAAUAAUGUAUUGCUUACUAUACUGGACAACAACCUUGCCCUCUUGUUUUUAAUCAGUGGACAUACAACAGAAUCCAUUCACUAAGUUAAUCAGUAUCACUGUACACUGGCCACCUGAUCAAUACAUCAUACAUUUUAUUGAUCAUUGCUACCAUGC